GAUGCAACACCUAAAGAGCUGGAGGAAAAUGAGCCUUCUUUACCAAGCUGCAGCAGCAGCCAGGGUUCUGAUACUAGCAUUUUUUCCAUGAAAAUGAAGAUAGAAUUUCUGGAAGAGAAAAUAAAGUGGCAAGAAAAAAUGAUCGGAGAGCUAGAAAAUGAACGUGAUUUUCUCCGAGAACAGGUUCUUGGGAAAGCCAAAGGACAAGAUGUUGCACCUUUCAGUGUCAAACAAGAAGUCCACCACCAUGAUCCCAAUGAUGACACUACCUCCUCAUCACAAAAUUUGAGCGAAUCUGAUGAGCCUGUACUAAUAGACAACAAACAGAAGAAAAGGAAGAAGGUGGCACACCA
This is a long non-coding RNA of Xyrauchen texanus (razorback sucker), 353 nucleotides long. RefSeq lists it as uncharacterized. NCBI's taxonomy places the organism in Eukaryota, Metazoa, Chordata, Actinopteri, Cypriniformes, Catostomidae. The record is from RefSeq and is a predicted model, not a curated record. The transcript has 3 exons.